GAGACGACUCAGACGAGACCAGGUGG
Molecule: non-coding RNA, 26 nt
Filed under: Rattus norvegicus (Norway rat)
Lineage: Eukaryota; Metazoa; Chordata; Mammalia; Rodentia; Muridae
Source: RNAcentral